CAUCUUACUAGACAGUGCUGGAUUUUUUGGAUCUACUCUAACACUGUCUGGUAACGAUGUU
RNAcentral lists this microRNA precursor (61 nucleotides) under Chrysemys picta bellii (western painted turtle). RNAcentral describes it as "Cpi-Mir-8-P2a_pre stem-loop". It matches the Rfam family "mir-8/mir-141/mir-200 microRNA precursor family", at positions 6 to 67 of the family's 72-position model. Rfam says of the family: The bounds of the precursors are predicted based on conservation and base pairing and are not generally known. Lineage: Eukaryota; Metazoa; Chordata; Testudines; Emydidae. RNAcentral also lists the same sequence under 2 other names. The record is from RNAcentral.